Molecule: ribosomal RNA, 621 nt
Filed under: Salmonella enterica subsp. enterica serovar Infantis
Lineage: Bacteria; Pseudomonadati; Pseudomonadota; Gammaproteobacteria; Enterobacterales; Enterobacteriaceae
Also listed under: 1 other name
Description: partial 23S ribosomal RNA
Rfam family: Bacterial large subunit ribosomal RNA
Source: RNAcentral
GGAGCCGACCUUGAAAUACCACCCUUUAAUGUUUGAUGUUCUAACGUGGAUCCGUAAUCCGGGUUGCGGACAGUGUCUGGUGGGUAGUUUGACUGGGGCGGUCUCCUCCUAAAGAGUAACGGAGGAGCACGAAGGUUGGCUAAUCCUGGUCGGACAUCAGGAGGUUAGUGCAAUGGCAUAAGCCAGCUUGACUGCGAGCGUGACGGCGCGAGCAGGUGCGAAAGCAGGUCAUAGUGAUCCGGUGGUUCUGAAUGGAAGGGCCAUCGCUCAACGGAUAAAAGGUACUCCGGGGAUAACAGGCUGAUACCGCCCAAGAGUUCAUAUCGACGGCGGUGUUUGGCACCUCGAUGUCGGCUCAUCACAUCCUGGGGCUGAAGUAGGUCCCAAGGGUAUGGCUGUUCGCCAUUUAAAGUGGUACGCGAGCUGGGUUUAGAACGUCGUGAGACAGUUCGGUCCCUAUCUGCCGUGGGCGCUGGAGAACUGAGGGGGGCUGCUCCUAGUACGAGAGGACCGGAGUGGACGCAUCACUGGUGUUCGGGUUGUCAUGCCAAUGGCACUGCCCGGUAGCUAAAUGCGGAAGAGAUAAGUGCUGAAAGCAUCUAAGCACGAAACUUGCCCCGA